This 433-nucleotide ribosomal RNA is filed under the name uncultured bacterium. RNAcentral's name for it is "partial 16S ribosomal RNA". It matches the Rfam family "Bacterial small subunit ribosomal RNA", at positions 28 to 507 of the family's 1533-position model. The record is from RNAcentral.
GACGAACGCUGGCGGCAUGCCUAACACAUGCAAGUCGAACGAGACCUUCGGGUCUAGUGGCGCACGGGUGCGUAACGCGUGGGAACCUGCCCUUAGGUUCGGAAUAACUCCCCGAAAGGGGUGCUAAUACCGGAUAAUGUCUUCGGACCAAAGAUUUAUCGCCUUUGGAUGGGCCCGCGUUGGAUUAGCUAGUUGGUAGGGUAAAAGCCUACCAAGGCGACGAUCCAUAGCUGGUCUGAGAGGAUGAUCAGCCACACUGGGACUGAGACACGGCCCAGACUCCUACGGGAGGCAGGAGUGGGGAAUAGUGGACAAUGGGCGAAAUCCUGAUCCAGCAAGGCCGCGUGAGUGAUGAAGGCCUUAGGGUUGUAAAGCUCUUUUACCCGGGAUGAUAAUGACAGUACCGGGAGAAUAAGCUCCGGCUAACUCCGUG